GGAGUGCUGCUCAGCGUGAGGUAAUACAGUAGGGGAGUGCACUCAGUGUGAGGUAAUACAGUAGGGGGAGUGCUGCUCAGCGUGAGGUAAUACAGUAGAGGGAGUGCUGCUCAGCGUGAGGUAAUACAGUAGGGGGAGUGCUGCUCAGCGUGAGGUAAUACAGUAGGGGGAGUGCUGCUCAGCGUGAGGUAAUACAAGAACGUACUCGGAGAAUGAGAGUCAGUCUGUGUGUCAGUCUGUGUGUCAGUCUAUGUGUCAGUCUGUGUGUCAGUCUGUGUGUCAGUCUGUGUGUCAGUCUGUGUGUCAGUCUGUGUGUCUGUCUGUGUGUCAGUCUGUGUGUCAGUCU
Oncorhynchus tshawytscha (Chinook salmon) is the source of this 346-nucleotide long non-coding RNA. The record is from Ensembl. Lineage: Eukaryota; Metazoa; Chordata; Actinopteri; Salmoniformes; Salmonidae.